This is a long non-coding RNA of Pelodiscus sinensis (Chinese soft-shelled turtle), 2320 nucleotides long. RefSeq lists it as uncharacterized. Lineage: Eukaryota; Metazoa; Chordata; Testudines; Trionychidae. The record is from RefSeq and is a predicted model, not a curated record.
AGAAGAGUGAGUGCCCUGAGCAGCAUACAGAAGAUCUUUGAUGGCUGGGAAACAAAAUGGUACAGCGCCAUGACAAAGCUGAAAUGAGCUGAAAUGUCUCUUCACCGGACUGAGCUCUGCCUCCUCCCACCACUCGUCUGAAUCAACCCCAAAGCCCUGGUGACACAGAAGCCGGCACUGACCUCCCAUGGGACACGGAGCUCGGGAAGUACAAGGAACCCCCUUUCCAAACAGAACACAGCUGGGUCCGGGGACUCAGUGUCACCCAGUGUGGCAGAGCUCCUCCUCCAGCUGAGGAAGCAGGAAGAGAGCUGAAGCACUGCUAGCCCUCAGGACUGGUCAGCUCGGAUUCGGAAUGGCACACAGAGCCUUUUAACUGACUAGAAGCUCUCAGUUUGGAUCUGGCCCAUGGGGGUAGUGACCCAAAAGCCAGGUCUACGCUAGACCUGGAAGGUCAGGUUAAGGUGCGCAACUCCAGUAAAAUAGGUAGCUGGAGUUGGCUUACCUUAAGCCAAGCUUGGCGCCGUCUUCACAGAGGAAGGCUGACAGGAGCAAACACUCUUGUUGGCUUCCCUUACUCCUUGAGAGGAGAACUAGUGCUGGCCGGGGCUUUCCUAACUAGACCCACUAAAUCAAACACCAGAAUAUUGAUCUCUGGUGCAACAAGUGAAGACAUGGCCAAAGUCUUCACCACAUGGCGGCUGUGCAGUCUGUUCUUUCUAUUUCCUAGGUCGCAGGUGCCCUCAUCGCAGAACAGAUUACCCUCGAAAACAGAUUACCCUCCUUGUUGGCAGGCUCAGAAAGGGACAAAGGUAUAAAUGGGCCAUGGAGAUCGAACUCCUCUCUGAAGGAGGGGCACUGGACGGUAAGGGGUAAGCGCCACCCAUGUGCUGCCUGCUGUGAGAAUAGGGACCCCAAGUUUCCAAGGCUGCCAACAAAACCUGCGGCUGCACCUCUGAACAAGCUCUUCUCAAAGAGGUCACGGAUGCAGCUUGGAAAUGGCUGGAAGAAUGGGAGGGACCGGGGUAAGGAGAGCCACUCCAGUUGGCCAAGGUUAACUUGCCUUCCCUGUGGUGCUCAUCCUCCCAUCCAGGCUGGGCAGCCUUCUAGCAGCGGCGUUAAUGGCAACAUCCCUGAGUGGGGUCCAAGCAGGAACAACAAUAAACCAACCCUCCAGAUCCUAUCUUAAGGACACAGGGCUUCAAACCCCAGCUCAGCCGGGCACUCACACCACACAGCAAGGAGUGAACGGCAUCAAUUUUCCCCUAAUGAUAAGUUACUCGAGCAGCAGUUUUCUACACCUAUCCCACCGUGGAUGUGACUCUAUGGAACACCACAGGCUCAGUAGUCCUGGGCCAGUUCCUUUAGUUGCCUGGAGAAGAAAAACCCUGGUGACACUGCUCUUCCUUCUGAAUGAGAACUGAAUGCCAUGGUGAUUCAGGGGCUGAUGUGCACCAGGAGGUUCCCUCUUUCAUGCAAGACCAGACAAGUCCUUGCACACGCACACCCAUCAGAGAUUGCACAGCACUUUUUGAAGGCAUCAAGAAUGCUCACCCCACAUCCUGACUACACUCCAGUGCAGCAAACUCCACCCCCACCCCCUGCCGCAUUUCCAAUGAGACACAGGAUUCUGCAGCAUUGCUAGGAACUGUUAAACAGCUGCCAUGCCCCACCCCAGAGCGGCUGUCCUGCAGUGCUGUGCCAUGCAGGUCAACUGUAUGUAGCUUUUAAAGCAUCUUGGGGUGUUCUCCCCAAGCAGCACUAGAAUGCAGUGUCACUACCAUCACUAGGCACUGCAACAGAAUAGUGCCCCCCUUUGAUGGGAAUUAACCAUCUACCACAAAUAUCCUGUCUGACGGAGCACGGCUGAUAGGAUUAUUUAUUGCUUCAGGCUAGGCACAGGUGCCCAGUGGUGAAGCUGCCAAACAGCAAGCAGCUCUCUGCAUGGAUGUGUCCAUAAAUUACCCACUGAACCCAUUAGGGAGCCAGGAAGUUUAGGAGGGAGCCAACUUCAGAGGGGAGUGGAAGUGGAGCGCGUCCCUGCGAGUGGGCUGGGGCCAGGCAGUGCGCAAUUAAUCCUCGUUAAUAAUGUCGCAAACAGAAGCGCUCGCAUGGAGCACGAAGCGGAACAGAUGCACACACGCACCUCUGGGGCGUCUCCUGGGGCCCACUCCUCCAUGCUUCCUCCCAGCCAGCUCCACAUUUUCUGUCAGUGAAUCUUCCUUCUUUUUCCUUCACUGCUGCUCUUCCUUCUCCUGGAUUCCCUCCUUUCCUCUUUCUUUGUGUAUGUUCCCAUCAUCCCAUCAUUUCCCCGCCCCCA